CGCGGGAUGGAGCAGUUGGUAGCUCGUCGGGCUCAUAACCCGGAGGUCGUUGGUUCGAGUCCAACUCCCGCAACCA
Molecule: transfer RNA, 76 nt
Filed under: Candidatus Margulisbacteria bacterium GWF2_35_9
Lineage: Bacteria; Bacillati; Candidatus Margulisiibacteriota
Description: tRNA-Met
Rfam family: tRNA
About the family: Transfer RNA (tRNA) molecules are approximately 80 nucleotides in length. Their secondary structure includes four short double-helical elements and three loops (D, anti-codon, and T loops).
Source: RNAcentral